This 109-nucleotide small nuclear RNA is filed under the name Gopherus evgoodei (Goodes thornscrub tortoise). RNAcentral describes it as "U5 spliceosomal RNA (ENSGEVG00005016421.1)". It matches the Rfam family "U5 spliceosomal RNA". From Rfam's summary of the family: U5 RNA is a component of both types of known spliceosome. The precise function of this molecule is unknown, though it is known that the 5' loop is required for splice site selection and p220 binding, and that both the 3' stem-loop and the Sm site are important for Sm protein binding and cap methylation. The record is from Rfam by way of RNAcentral. Lineage: Eukaryota; Metazoa; Chordata; Testudines; Testudinidae.
GUACUCUGCUUUCUCUUCAGUUUGUAUAAAUCUUUUACUAAAGAUUUUUGUAGAGAGGAGCAUUUAUGAGUUUGUACCCAAUUUUUUGAGGCUUUGCUUUGGCAAGACU